UGGGGAAUUUUGCGCAAUGGGCGAAAGCCUGACGCAGCAACGCCGCGUGGGUGAUGAAGGCCUUAGGGUUGUAAAGCUCUGUCAGGGGGGAAGAACAGCUUGUGUGGUAACUCCACAAGUUUGACGGUACCCCCACAGGAAGCACUGGCUAACUCCGUGCCAGCAGCCGCGGUAAUACGGAGAGUGCAAGCGUUGUUCGGAAUUAUUGGGCGUAAAGCGCAUGUAGGCGGCUUGGCAAGUCCACAAGUGAAAGCCCUCGGCUCAACCGAGGAAGUGCUUUGGAAACUGCUAGGCUUGAGUCCUGGAGGGGCAGGUGGAAUUCCCGGUGUAGAGGUGAAAUUCGUAGAUAUUGGGAGGAACACCAGUGGCGAAGGCGGCCUGCUGGACAGUGACUGACGCUGAGAUGCGAAAGCGCGGGGAGCAAACAGG
This 429-nucleotide ribosomal RNA is filed under the name uncultured bacterium. RNAcentral's name for it is "bacterial SSU rRNA". It matches the Rfam family "Bacterial small subunit ribosomal RNA", at positions 355 to 776 of the family's 1533-position model. The record is from RNAcentral.